This is a long non-coding RNA of Pongo pygmaeus (Bornean orangutan), 684 nucleotides long. RefSeq lists it as uncharacterized. The record is from RefSeq and is a predicted model, not a curated record. The transcript is spliced from 3 exons. Lineage: Eukaryota; Metazoa; Chordata; Mammalia; Primates; Hominidae.
GCUUCCUUUUUGCAGUCCGGGUGGACCCAAAGCUCCGUGGCGGUGCUGAACUUUAGGGCAGCCACUAGCCACGGACUUAAGCGGCAAUUGAGCGCCUCAAAGUGGUGCCCUAAAGAAGGAAGCUUGAAUGCCCCUGGGGAUAAGAGGCUUAUUACCAGAGGGAUACUCCCAGAUCCUCCCAGCACACCUGUAGACACCUCCUGCACACCCUCGGCGGCCCGGUGACAGCCAUCCACCAGCUGGCGGGUCCAGGCAGCCAGCUCCUGCGGUGACUCCACGCUGAACAGGGAUGGUUUAUGAUACAGCAACAGAUAGCCAAAAUACCAGGAGAAAAGACUCUUUGGCUUUUGUCUUCUUUCUGCCUGGAAUAUGAACACAAUUGUUGGGAUACAGCCACCAUCCUGCCUCCACGAAGAAGAAAACCGCCCAUAAUUAAAAUGGCAGAGCAGGAAGCUAGAAGCCUGGUUCCUUGAUGGCAUCCUUGAGCAUCUACAGCAGCCUGAAUAGCUGACCCCUGGACUUCUUUUUAAACAUGUGGGAAAAUUAACCCCUUUUAUUGAAGUCAUUGCUUGUUGGAGUUUCUGUACUUGCAGCCUAAUGCAAUCCUAACACUGAGUAAAAGUUUGAAGUAGUUUUCAUUACAUUUUGGUUGCCAGGCUGUAUCCCUAUGACUGGGAUACUACA